UACGUAGGUGGCAAGCGUUGUCCGGAAUUAUUGGGCGUAAAGAGCUCGUAGGCGGUCUGUUACGUCCGCUGUGAAAACCCAGGGCUUAACCCUGGGCUUGCAGUGGAUACGGGUAGACUAGAGGCAGGUAGGGGAGAAUGGAAUUCCCGGUGUAGCGGUGAAAUGCGCAGAUAUCGGGAGGAACACCGGUGGCGAAGGCGGUUCUCUGGGCCUGACCUGACGCUGAGGAGCGAAAGCGUGGGGAGCGAACAGG
RNAcentral lists this ribosomal RNA (253 nucleotides) under uncultured bacterium. RNAcentral's name for it is "partial 16S ribosomal RNA". It matches the Rfam family "Bacterial small subunit ribosomal RNA", at positions 524 to 776 of the family's 1533-position model. The record is from RNAcentral.